UACUGAAUAAAUUGUUUCUGGUCAAAUAAGGUACCCGCGGGUAAUAAGGCCUGUCGGGUAAUAAGGCCUAAGUGAUAGAAAUGAUAUUUAAAAUAACCGCUUCCGCUAAAGGCUUCUCUAGUAGAAGCGUCUAGCAUAGAAAUGUCGCUACAAUUUUAUAGAGUCCCGAUACAACGUUCCCUGUCUUCUAUAUUUCAUCAUCCGUCAUAUGCUAAAGUAGCGCAAAAGAAUUCCUAAAAAACGGUUUGAGUAAAUGGUAAACAUUUUUUAUAAUUUUAUAUUUAAUAAUUUAAAAUCAUUGUUCUAAUUUUUAUCAACAUAUUAAAAAGUAUUGUUGCUAAAUUUAAGUGAUGAUUGAUCUCUAAUACCAAUUUUAUUAAGUAUAGUAUAACUAUUUCCAGUAUGUUUAACCCGCAGGCCUUGUUACCCUAC
Molecule: long non-coding RNA, 432 nt
Organism: Cotesia glomerata
Lineage: Eukaryota; Metazoa; Arthropoda; Insecta; Hymenoptera; Braconidae
Exons: 3
Source: RefSeq, a predicted model, not a curated record